UAUCUACAGAUCUUUGCCAAGAAUGGUCCUCAGGAAUGAAAUGUUCAUGCUUAUUUAAGCAUUCCUUAUUUAAGAUUUCAUUCCUGAGGACUAUUUUUGGCAAAGAUCUGUAGAU
Molecule: non-coding RNA, 115 nt
Organism: Paramuricea clavata
Lineage: Eukaryota; Metazoa; Cnidaria; Anthozoa; Malacalcyonacea; Plexauridae
Source: the annotation of a GenBank genome assembly